CCUGGGAAAUUGCCCUGAUGUGGGGGAUAACCAUUGGAAACGAUGGCUAAUACCGCAUGAUAGCUUCGGCUCAAAGAGGGGGACCUUCGGGCCUCUCGCGUCAGGAUAUGCCCAGGUGGGAUUAGCUAGUUGGUGAGGUAAGGGCUCACCAAGGCGACGAUCCCUAGCUGGUCUGAGAGGAUGAUCAGCCACACUGGAACUGAGACACGGUCCAGACUCCUACGGGAGGCAGCAGUGGGGAAUAUUGCACAAUGGGCGCAAGCCUGAUGCAGCCAUGCCGCGUGUAUGAAGAAGGCCUUCGGGUUGUAAAGUACUUUCAGCAGUGAGGAAGGGGAUAUCGUUAAUAGCGGUACUCUUUGACGUUAGCUGCAGAAGAAGCACCGGCUAACUCCGUGC
RNAcentral lists this ribosomal RNA (396 nucleotides) under Vibrio furnissii. RNAcentral describes it as "bacterial SSU rRNA". It matches the Rfam family "Bacterial small subunit ribosomal RNA", at positions 116 to 508 of the family's 1533-position model. Lineage: Bacteria; Pseudomonadati; Pseudomonadota; Gammaproteobacteria; Vibrionales; Vibrionaceae. The record is from RNAcentral.